RNAcentral lists this ribosomal RNA (253 nucleotides) under uncultured bacterium. RNAcentral's name for it is "partial 16S ribosomal RNA". It matches the Rfam family "Bacterial small subunit ribosomal RNA", at positions 524 to 776 of the family's 1533-position model. The record is from RNAcentral.
UACGUAGGGACCGAGCGUUAUCCGGAUUCAUUGGGCGUAAAGAGCUCGUAGGCGGCUAUUCAAGUCGAACGUGAAAUCUCGGAGCUCAACUCCGAGCCUGCGUUCGAUACUGGGUAGCUAGAGUCUGGUAGGGGGAUCUGGAAUUCCCGGUGUAGUGGUGAUAUGCGUAGAUAUCGGGAGGAACACCUGUGGCGAAGGCGGCUUUCUGGGCCCUACCUGACGCUGAGACGCGAAAGCGUGGGGAGCGAACCGG